GUGAGUCAUCGAAUCUUUGAACGCACCUUGCACCUUUUGGUAUUCCGAAAGGUACGCCCGGUUGAGUAUUAUGAACACCUCAAUCCAACGGUCUCUGAUUGCAAAGGUCCCAUGUUCGGCGAAGCCCUUCUGUGGAGGGGUGGUAGCCGAAGUCGGACUUGGAGGCCUGUUGGACUUGGACUUGAGCGACGACUGUCGGUCCGCUUGGAUCGACUCGCUCGAAAUGCAUUAGCUGGCGACCCGUCUUACGGUUCCACUCGACGUAGUAAGUUCUAUUUCGUUGAGGACGCCUCUCCGGAG
This 300-nucleotide unclassified non-coding RNA is filed under the name uncultured Tulasnellaceae. RNAcentral's name for it is "sequence contains 5.8S rRNA gene, ITS2". The stretch from base 1 to 71 matches the Rfam family "5.8S ribosomal RNA", at positions 84 to 154 of the family's 154-position model. Lineage: Eukaryota; Fungi; Basidiomycota; Agaricomycetes; Cantharellales; Tulasnellaceae. The record is from RNAcentral.